AAUUAAGGAUGUUUCUUCUAAAUUGUAAUCGAUAUAAGGCUCAGUUGGGACCCCAACAACUCAAGUACAUGACAGUCCUCAAAGCCUCUUCUGAUUGUUUAGACUGCCUCAGUCCUUUGCAAAUUGCGGCUGAGGAUUGAGAUGAGAGGUUCUUGGCCUGUGAAGCUGAUCUCAUGUGGUUCUUGGCAUGCUGGACAGCUGACCUUACAGUGUAGUUCCAUCUGCAGAUACCUUGGUCUUUCAGAGCCUCCACAGCUCCAAUACUAGCUGCAACAAUCCAUGCUCUGCUUGUUGAACUCAUCUUUGCAAAUACUUCUCUUAGAUUAUUGAAUCUUGAAUGCUGAAAUUGAAGAAAGCUUAUUAAGACGGAUAGACUGUGAUUUUGUUGAUUGAUGCUUAAGCGAGAAGGGGGCUGCUUAUAUUUAUAGGAUAGGGAUAGGGAUGGAUCAAAAAGCCAUAAACUGGGGGAAAGGAACGACAGGCUAUCUGCUCUAGCUCAUGGUUUUUGGAGACGAUGGUUUUGUUUGUUUUGGGCAGGUGGGUUGGACCUACUUGUAGUUAUCGUUAUGACCCCAAAUAGGUGAGGGCAAUGAAUGGGAUUUAGGAUAAUAAUUCAAUCCUGAGAUGAUUAAAGAUGGUCCAGGGGCACACCAUUUAUUCUAAAUAAUUAAAUAGCCAAUAAGGAGUAUGGGAGUACAAAAGUCCAAACCACCUGUUUUCUACCUCGGAAUUUGGAGGAAAACAAGAGGCAAAUUUUAGCACAUGACCAAACUCAGUGCCACCUACUGAGUUCGUCAUUGAAUAUUUACCGUCUCUUAGGUUAUGUGCUACCCAAUUCUCUAAUCCACGUUGCAGCGGGAUUGGCUGACACACUAGUAAUUCAUGCAAAUUAACUUAUUUUAUUAAAGUUCUAUAGUAUCGAACAUAUAUUCGAAUUUUGAACCAUAAAUUUUCCAUCAAAGUAGACCUUUCCUGGAAAAAAGAAUAAACUGAAGUGCUGGUAUUAACUAAAUAAUUAUUUCGGGAAAAGCAUUAACAAAAAUAAUUAGAACAAAAGAAUUGAAGAAACCCAGCCACUUACUUCAUGGUUGAGACUCAAAACAUGUCCUGUCUACGGUUUAAUUCCAAUUUUAAAGAUCCUCCAGGGAAGAUUUUUUUUUUCUUCAAAGAAAAAAGAGAUUGUCAUUAAUUUGAUGUAUUUUUUCCCACACUUUUUUAAUCUAUUUUAAUUAUAAUAAAUGUAUACAAUUUUUUAAUAUAUAUUUUAAUGCAUUCAUGAAUAAAUAAAUUUUAUUUAUAUUAUUAUCUUAAUUUUCAUAUUAGAGAUAAAUAUCGUCAUGUCUUUAUUUAUUUAGUUUUCCAUUACAAUUUCAUUUAGAAAAUAUGUAUUUAUGUUAUAUUUUAUUCAAAAAGAAGGAAAAAAAAAUUAUCCUGUUGUCAGAGAAAAUAGGAAGGCUUUCAUAGCCAUUCAAUAUAGAUUCCAAAUGAUAUAUCUACAAUUUUUAUAUUCCCUCGCCAUUCUUAAGGACUGUCAUCUAACAUACUACAACUUUAUACAUAUACAUGUAUGUUUGGAACAAUUGCAGGAGGAGGAAAUAUGUUGGCCUGAGAAUAUGAUCUGAGCUUGUUGUUGACAUGUUGGACCUUAUUACAUGAUUCUGCCUGCAAAAGCCUCAAUGUGUUUGAUUGCUCAGUCGUCGUUAAACCUUCUUCUGAAUGACCAAAGCUUGCACUCACGAGUCAAUGAUUCACCCAAAUAAAGGAUGUUUCUUCUAAAUUGUAAGCGAUUUUGACAGAUUUAAGGCUCAGUUGGGACCCCAACAACUCAAGUACAUGACUGUCCUCAAAGACUCUUCUGAUUGUUUAGAAUUGUUCAGUCCCUUUGAAAUUGCAGCUGAGGAUUGAGAAGAGAGGUUCUUGGCCUGUGAAGCUAACCUCACAUGGUUCUUGGCAUGCUGCACAACUGACCUUACCGUGUAGUUCCAUCUGCAGAUACCUUGGUCUUUCAGUGCCUCCACAGCUCCAAUACUAGCUGCAACAAUCCAUGCUCUGCUACUUGAACUCAUCCUUGCAAAUACUGUAAUCUUGAUUCUUGAAAUAGAAAUAGAAGCUUGUAUGAGAGAAAUACAGUGUGAUUUUGUUGGUAGGUAAGUGAAGGGGGCUGCUUAUAUUUAUAAGAUGGGGGAAUAAUGAUGAAUUACAAAGCCAAAAAUUAGAAGGAAACUACAGGCAAUUUGCCGGUGGUUUUCGACAGUGGUUUUUAGUGUUCUUUGGCAAGGUAGGUCCGACGCAUUUGGUAUAGUAUGACUUAAAUACCCAUCUAAAAUCACUUGAUGACAGGAAAUAAAUGAGGGCAAUAUAUAAAUUUAGGACAGCAUUCAAUCGUGACAUUAUUAAAAAUGAGCCGUGAGCACUUGUUUUUUAAUAAAUUUCAACUUGGACCUGAAAGAUGUGACUACAAAAAGUCUAAACCACCUGUUUUCUCCCCUGGGAUUGGGAAUUGGAAAACAGACUGCAAUUUUUUUUUUCAUUUUUUGAAAAAAAAAAAAUCAAAGUCCUCCUAGGGAAGAAGGUGCAAAUCCUAUAAUCUAGGGAAGUUUGUGUAAGAGCAUUUAGAGUAUCGAACCGACUCAGUGGUCUGUACCAGAUACGAAUUAGAGGUUGACACAUUUGAAUAUGUUAUGUUUGCCCAUGCAGAAGGUGUUUGGAAAGUUUUAACGUUCAGUAACUGUCCAAGAAAAGAGGGUUUAGAGGAUUCACGCAUUGGUGGUUGGAGAUUUUGAAUUGGCUCGGGAAAAAUGGGUUGUGGUCUGAAGUUGGUUUGAUUGCUAAUACUUGUUGGUCCUUUUGGAAGGCACGGAAUGAGUUGAUGUUUGACCAAUCCGUGCGUGCGAUUCGAUUGCGACUUGGAACAGAGCUUUGCUCGACAACCCUUGCGUUUCUGAAGGAAGCGAUCAAAUGAAACCGGUUCAUAACGUGAGUGAAAAUCAAAGAUGGAGAAAACCAACAUUUGGAACUGUUAAAAUUAACUGUGAUGCGUCGAUGGAUUCGGGUUCUCCAAUGACUGGUAUUGCAGCAAUUGCACGAGAUUAUAAUGGAAAAAUUAUUGACGGAACCAACGCAGUUGUUCGGACUACAUCUGUACGAGUGGCUGAGGCCUUGGCUUUAGGGCUUGGCUCGGUUCUUGAAAAAAGAUGGCAAUGGCAGUCUAUUAUCUUUGAAUCUAACAACAAAGAGUUGAUUUACUCUGUGAAAAGUAAAGUCGGUUAAAUUCUGAUAUCUCAGGAAAGCGUCAAAAAAAUAGAGUUGAAAAUUUGAAGAAAAAACAACAGAACUGAAACAGGGACAUUGAUUUCAGGAGAAAAUAGCACAAAGAAUGAAAAACAAACAAUUCUCAAAAUUCUUUUUAUUAGUUAUAUGAAGACAGAGAACUCAUUUCGUACAUCCAUUUGUAAGUUAUAUACAUUAUGCAAGCAAAGACCCCAGCCAUGCCCCCAGUCCUCAAACCUUGUUUCGAAUGACCAAAGCUUGCACUCGGGAGUCAAUGAUUCACCCAAAUUAAGAAUGUUCCUUGUAAUUGUAAUCCAUUUUGACAGAUUUAUGGCUCAGUUGGGACCCCAACAGCUCAAGUACAUGACAGUCCUCAAAGACUCUUCUGAUUGUUUAGACUUGUUCAGUCCCUUUGAAAUUGCAGCUGAGGAUUGAGAGGAGAGGUUCUUGGCCUGUGAAGCUGACCUCACAUGGUUCUUGGCAUGCUGCGCAACUGACCUUACUGUGUAGUUCCAUCUGCAAAUACCUUGAUCUUUCAGAGCCUCUACAGCUCCAAUACUAGCUGCAACAAUCCAUGCUCUGCUUGUAGAA
RNAcentral lists this long non-coding RNA (3861 nucleotides) under Gossypium barbadense (sea-island cotton). Its description in RNAcentral is "long non-coding RNA (GBAR_LNC002700)". Lineage: Eukaryota; Viridiplantae; Streptophyta; Magnoliopsida; Malvales; Malvaceae. The record is from RNAcentral.